RNAcentral lists this long non-coding RNA (839 nucleotides) under Rosa chinensis. Its description in RNAcentral is "sRNA RchiOBHm_Chr2g0143011". Lineage: Eukaryota; Viridiplantae; Streptophyta; Magnoliopsida; Rosales; Rosaceae. The record is from RNAcentral.
UGCAGCCCUUUUGGGCUGCUCUCUCUCUCUCCUCUUCUCCUCCAUUUUUUUCCUCUUUUCUUUAGUUUUAUUUUAGGGAAUUUAGAAGGACUCACUCAAGGCUUCAAGGGAAUCAUCAUCAAGAGUACCACACCUUUAUUUUGGGUAGUUGGGUGAAGAAAUUGCUUGGUUCAUACUAGCUCAUAGCUAGGAGUGGCCAAACUAACUCUCCCCUCUCUUCCUUAUUAUCUAUUUCAUAAUUUUUAUAUAUUUUUGUUGAUGGAUUCUUGUAUGGGUUGUGAGUAGUUCAAUUUUGGGAGUUAGGGUUGUGAACCCCUAACUCAUCUUGUAUAAAUAUUGAUGCUUUAAUUUUAAUAAAUGCAAUUUCCAUUGUCUAAGCUUGCUUGGGUCUCUAUUAUCUUGCACUCUAGGCCUCUAAUUUUGGAUAUUGCGGCCUUAACCGGCGUAGUACCCAAAUUAGAGAGUUGAUUGUGGCCCUAACCGGCAUAAUCGAUACACCGAAAUGAUAAUUGGUUUAGUAGCUUUAACCGGUACUAGAUACAGGACUUGACACAUAUAGGAAAUGCAUGCAUUUGUAAAAUUGGCAUUGAUAUUUGCAAGAUAGUUAGUGUGAAUCACCCGACACUCCCAUGUUCCCAUUAAUUUGAAAACCCAAAUUUAAUUUUCUAGUUCGUUAAUUAGUUGUUUAGUUUACUUUUCGGUUGCGUUUAAUUUAGUUGAUUCCCAAUUCAAAACCCCCUACAAAUUUCAACUCAUUUGUGCAUAUCCACUACUAGGCUCUUAGUUUUGAUUAGGCUUUGGUGAAAACCAAAGCCGAGCAUUGCUAAGGCUUGGUGCCU